AUGACUUUGACUCAUGUAUGCGUAGGUUCGAGUCCUGCAUCCCCAGCCAAACAGUAUGGUCUAUUAGCUCAGUCGGUAGAGCACCUGACUUUUAAUCAGGGUGUCCCGCGUUCGAGUCGCGGAUAGAUCACCAAUGGAGAGGUGUCCGAGUGGUUUAAGGAGCUGGUCUUGAAAACCAGUGACUUCGAAAGGGGCCGUGGGUUCGAAUCCCACCCUCUCCGCCAAAUGCCCAGAUAGCUCAGUCGGUAGAGCAGGGGACUGAAAAUCCCCGUGUCGGUGGUUCGAUUCCGCCUCUGGGCACCAAAAUAUGGCGGUAUAGCUUAGUUGGCUAGAGCGUUCGGUUCAUACCCGAAAGGUCAUAGGUUCGACUCCUAUUACCGCUACUAAAAUUUAAUGUGGGCCAUUAGCUCAGUUGGUUAGAGCGCCCGGCUCAUAACCGGUAGGUCUGGGGUUCGAGUCCCUGAUGGCCCACCACAUUAAAUUAAUUAAUAUAAAUUCGAGGUGUAGCGCAGUUUGGUAGCGCACAUGGUUUGGGACCAUGGGGCCGGGGGUUCGAGUCCCUUCACCUCGACCAAUAUAAGGUGGGUAUAGCUCAGUUGGUUAGAGCGCCAGAUUGUGGCUCUGGAGGUCGUGAGUUCGACUCUCAUUAUCCACCCCAAUUCAUAUGGUCUAUUAGCUCAGUCGGUAGAGCACCUGACUUUUAAUCAGGGUGUCCCGCGUUCGAGUCGCGGAUAGAUCACCAAAAAGGUGGCGACAUAGCCAAGUGGUAAGGCAGUGGACUGCAACUCCUUGAUCCCCAGUUCGAAUCUGGGUGUCGCCUCCAAAAUAUUCCAAGGUAGCUCAACGGUGGAGCAACCGGCUGUUAACCGGUAGGCUGUGGGUUCGAGCCCCACCCUUGGAGCCAAAAAAGCCGAAGUGGCGGAACUGGCAGACGCACAGGACUNUGGGAUACCACCCUUGUAGUACUGGGACUCUAACCAUAGGCCAUGAAUCUGGUCUUGGGACACUGUCAGGUGGGCAGUUUGACUGGGGCGGUCGCCUCCCAAAAGGUAACGGAGGCGCUCAAAGGUUCUCUCAGUACGGUCGGAAAUCGUACGUAGAGUGUAAAGGCAAAAGAGAGCUUGAUUGCAAGACAUACAGGUCGAGCAAGGAUGAAAAUCGGACUUAGUGAUCCGGUGGUUCUGCGUGGAAGGGCCAUCGCUCAACGGAUAAAAGCUACCCUGGGGAUAACAGGCUUAUCUCCCCCAAGAGUCCACAUCGACGGGGAGGUUUGGCACCUCGAUGUCGGCUCAUCACAUCCUGGGGCUGUAGUAGGUCCCAAGGGUUGGGCUGUUCGCCCAUUAAAGUGGUACGCGAGCUGGGUUCAGAACGUCGUGAGACAGUUCGGUCCCUAUCCGUCGCAGGCGUAGGAAAUUUGAGAAGACCUGUCCUUAGUACGAGAGGACCGGGAUGGACGUACCUCUGGUGUACCAGUUGUCCUGCCAAGGGCAUGGCUGGGUAGCUAUGUACGGAAUGGAUAAGCGCUGAAAGCAUCUAAGCGCGAAGCCAACUUCAAGAUAAGAUUUCCCACCGUAAGGGUAAGACCCCAGAAAGACUAUCUGGUUGAUAGGUCGAAGGUGUAAGUGCAGCAAUGUAUUUAGCUUAUCGAUACUAAUAGGUCGAGGACUUGACCAA
This 1674-nucleotide ribosomal RNA is filed under the name Clostridioides difficile. RNAcentral's name for it is "bacterial LSU rRNA". The stretch from base 758 to 1674 matches the Rfam family "Bacterial large subunit ribosomal RNA". The record is from RNAcentral. Lineage: Bacteria; Bacillati; Bacillota; Clostridia; Peptostreptococcales; Peptostreptococcaceae.